GCAGAGUAGCCAAGCCGGGAAGGGAUAAACGCUGAAGGCAUCUAAGCGUGAAGCCCCCCUCAAGAUGAGAUAUCCCAUAACGUCAAGUUAGUAAGACCCCUUGAAGACGACAAGGUAGAUAGGGCAGAGGUGGAAGCAUGGUAACAUGUGGAGCUGACUGUUACUAAUAGGUCGAGGGCAUGACCAG
Molecule: ribosomal RNA, 187 nt
Filed under: Candidatus Mediterraneibacter intestinavium
Lineage: Bacteria; Bacillati; Bacillota; Clostridia; Lachnospirales; Lachnospiraceae
Description: partial 23S ribosomal RNA
Rfam family: Bacterial large subunit ribosomal RNA
Source: RNAcentral